GAUGAACGCUGGCGGCGUGCCUAAUACAUGCAAGUCGAGCGAACGGACGAGAAGCUUGCUUCUCUGAUGUUAGCGGCGGACGGGUGAGUAACACGUGGGUAACCUAUCUAUAAGACUGGGAUAACUUCGGCAAACCGUAGCUAAUACCGGAUAAUAUUUUGAACCGCAUGGUUCAAAAGAGAAAGACGGUCUUGCUGUCACUUAUAGAUGGAUCCGCGCUGCAUUAGCUAGUUGGUAAGGUAACGGCUUACCAAGGCAACGAUGCAUAGCCGACCUGAGAGGGUGAUCGGCCACACUGGAACUGAGACACGGUCCAGACUCCUACGGGAGGCAGCAGUAGGGAAUCUUCCGCAAUGGGCGAAAGCCUGACGGAGCAACGCCGCGUGAGUGAUGAAGGUCUUCGGAUCGUAAAACUCUGUUAUUAGGGAAGAACAUAUGUGUAAGUAACUGUGCACAUCUUGACGGUACCUAAUCAGAAAGCCACGGCUAACUACGUG
This 497-nucleotide ribosomal RNA is filed under the name uncultured bacterium. Its description in RNAcentral is "partial 16S ribosomal RNA". It matches the Rfam family "Bacterial small subunit ribosomal RNA", at positions 28 to 507 of the family's 1533-position model. The record is from RNAcentral.